This 225-nucleotide small RNA is filed under the name Veronia pacifica. RNAcentral describes it as "Enterovibrio sp. sw014 PAGEV RNA". It matches the Rfam family "PAGEV RNA". The record is from Rfam by way of RNAcentral. Lineage: Bacteria; Pseudomonadati; Pseudomonadota; Gammaproteobacteria; Vibrionales; Vibrionaceae.
CUCCGUCUGGAUUCAAGAUGUUUUGGACAGAGCGAGCGCAUCAGCCACUGACCAAGGGAUUUUCCAAAAGAGGCGUAGUAAAGGCUCUAAUCAGAACUAAGCAAACACCCGAUAACUCCGCCCUUUGUCGUUACUAGAGUGGAAAGCGGGAAAGGAAUAAAUGAUCAGUGUUGUGAGACUGGAAUGGGGCGCCGUCGAAGGUGAGGUCCAGUUCGCUACUACGCU